Molecule: long non-coding RNA, 740 nt
Filed under: Fukomys damarensis (Damara mole-rat)
Lineage: Eukaryota; Metazoa; Chordata; Mammalia; Rodentia; Bathyergidae
Description: lncRNA (ENSFDAG00000023438.1)
Source: RNAcentral
GGCUGGGCUUCUGCAGCACAAGCACAUCCUUCCAGGCUAGCUCUGUCCUGAAUUAUUUUAGACAAGCAGUUCUUUGGGAGCAUGGAGGGUCAGCGUGGCUCUGCAAACUGCUCUGGGCCUGGCACUGAGGGAACUUUCAGAAGUAUGAGGAAACAUGAAAUAAGCCAACCAUGGCCGGAUGCUAGUAUACCAUGAUGGGCUGCCUUUGAACGAUGCUCAACUUGAGAAGGAAGCCCUGAGAUUCUACCUAGACGCCUUGUUACCCUGAUGACAACAAUGCCCAUCUCAGCCUGGGCCACAAUUCCCUGCAUCCUGCAACACAAUCAGCAUUUAACACAUGCCCUCUGGCUGCAGUCUCCCGGCAACCCACCCCAGCUCAUAUGCACUGAUUUGUUUACCAACUGCCCAUAAUGUGUCUCACAAAAUGCCUCAAAAACAAAAUGGGCUUUGCGGAUCCAACCUUACUAUGUACUUCCUCCUUCCCUCCCCCAUUUGAGGAUUUCAUCUUGACCACAGAAAAGCCACUUCCUGGUGACGUCAGACCUGUUGCUUGGGUGGAACCUGUUGGAGUCUCCAAGGCAAAGGAGCUGGCUCUGGGCGUUCACGAAGCUCUUUAUGUGAGGCUGGGAUCCAGCUGGGGCCUUCCCCAGUGAAGAAGAACAUUCUUUGGCAAGUGCUGAUAAGUCACACAAUGUUUGUCCUUGGUUGAAUGCAGGGAUGAAUCCAGGAGUAGAGGAAAG